UGGGGAAUUUUGGACAAUGGGCGAAAGCCUGAUCCAGCAAUGCCGCGUGUGUGAAGAAGGCCUUCGGGUUGUAAAGCACUUUUGCCCGGAAAGAAAUCCUUGGCUCUAAUACAGUCGGGGGAUGACGGUACCGGAAGAAUAAGCACCGGCUAACUACGUGCCAGCAGCCGCGGUAAUACGUAGGGUGCAAGCGUUAAUCGGAAUUACUGGGCGUAAAGCGUGCGCAGGCGGUUUGCUAAGACCGAUGUGAAAUCCCCGGGCUCAACCUGGGAACUGCAUUGGUGACUGGCAGGCUAGAGUAUGGCAGAGGGGGGUAGAAUUCCACGUGUAGCAGUGAAAUGCGUAGAGAUGUGGAGGAAUACCGAUGGCGAAGGCAGCCCCCUGGGCCAAUACUGACGCUCAUGCACGAAAGCGUGGGGAGCAAACAGGAUUAGAUACCCUGGUAGUCCACGCCCUAAACGAUGUCAACUAGUUGUUGGGGACUUCAUUUCCUUAGUAACGUAGCUAACGCGUGAAGUUGACCGCCUGGGGAGUACGGUCGCAAGAUUAAAACUCAAAUGAAUUGACGGGGUCAUAGCUGUUUCCU
RNAcentral lists this ribosomal RNA (586 nucleotides) under uncultured bacterium. RNAcentral describes it as "partial 16S ribosomal RNA". It matches the Rfam family "Bacterial small subunit ribosomal RNA", at positions 355 to 1375 of the family's 1533-position model. The record is from RNAcentral.